Molecule: ribosomal RNA, 375 nt
Filed under: uncultured organism
Description: partial 16S ribosomal RNA
Rfam family: Bacterial small subunit ribosomal RNA
Source: RNAcentral
GUAGGUGGCAAGCGUUGUCCGGAAUUAUUGGGCGUAAAGCGCGCGCAGGCGGUCCUUUAAGUCUGAUGUGAAAGCCCACGGCUCAACCGUGGAGGGUCAUUGGAAACUGGGGGACUUGAGUACAGAAGAGGAAAGCGGAAUUCCAAGUGUAGCGGUGAAAUGCGUAGAGAUUUGGAGGAACACCAGUGGCGAAGGCGGCUUUCUGGUCUGUAACUGACGCUGAGGCGCGAAGGCGUGGGGAGCAAACAGGAUUAGAUACCCUGGUAGUCCACGCCGUAAACGAUGAGUGCUAAGUGUUAGGGGGUUUCCCGCCCCCCUUAGUGCUGCAGCUAACGCAUUAAGCACUCCGCCUGGGGAGUACGGCCGCAAGGCUGA